UUUUUCUUCGGACAAUUUAAAGGUGCUGCAUGGUUGUCGUCAGCUCGUGCCGUGAGGUGUCGGGUUAAGUCCUAUAACGAGCGCAACCCCUAUUGUUAGUUACCAGCGCGUAUUGGCGGGGACUCUAGCAAGACUGCCGGUGCAAACCGUGAGGAAAGUGGGGAUGACAUCAAAUCAUCACGGCCCUUACAUCCUGGGCUACACACGUGCUACAAUGGCAAGUACAGAAAGCAGCUACCUGGCAACAGGAUGCGAAUCUCCAAAGCUUGUCUCAGUUCGGAUUGGAGUCUGCAACUCCACUCUAUGAAGCUGGAAUCGCUAGUAAUCGGAUAUCAUCCAUGAUCC
Molecule: ribosomal RNA, 345 nt
Filed under: Myroides sp. A1
Lineage: Bacteria; Pseudomonadati; Bacteroidota; Flavobacteriia; Flavobacteriales; Flavobacteriaceae
Description: bacterial SSU rRNA
Rfam family: Bacterial small subunit ribosomal RNA
Source: RNAcentral